GUUAGGAAUAUUGGACAAUGGGCGAAAGCCUGAUCCAGCCAUGCCGCGUGAACGAUGAAGGCCUUCGGGUUGUAAAGUUCUUUAGCCGAUGAUUAUAAUGACUGUAGUCGGAAAAUAAGCCCCGGCUAACUUCGUGCCAGCAGCCGCGGUAAUACGAAGGGGGCGAGCGCUAUUCGGAAUCACUGGGCGUAAAGCGUGCGUAGGCGGUUUUGUAAGUUAGGAGUGAAAGCCCAGGGCUCAACCUUGGAAUUGCUCUUAAAACUGCAAGGCUCGAAUCUCGGAGAGGAUAGCGGAAUUUCCAGUGUAGCAGUGAAAUGCGUAGAUAUUGGAAGGAACACCAGUGGCGUAAGCGGCUAUCUGGACGAGUAUUGACGCUGAGGCACGAAAGCGUGGGGAUCAAACAGGAUUAGAAACCCUUGUAGUAC
This 425-nucleotide ribosomal RNA is filed under the name uncultured bacterium. RNAcentral describes it as "partial 16S ribosomal RNA". It matches the Rfam family "Bacterial small subunit ribosomal RNA", at positions 354 to 796 of the family's 1533-position model. The record is from RNAcentral.